CAAUGGAAAUCGCGACAAGACGUUGACCAGUGCUAUCUCUGGAAGAUCCAUUUUUCGUUUACGCGGCCUCCCCCUCCCUCUUUGAUUUCUUCGAUUAGGUAAGGUAUUAGUAACAAUCUAAUCAAGAUUGCGGCUCAGCAAUUUAGAGCAGUAGUACCAAAUUUUUUUUCUUUCUCAACUUCUGCAUUUUAUUAAAUCUUUAACCUUUGGCCCACUAGAUCUUACGAGAGAUAUCAGUUUUACAAAACGGCCUCCCCCUCCCUCUUUGAUUUCUUCGAUUAGGUAAGGUAUUAGUAACAAUCUAAUCAAGAUUGCGGCUCAGCAAUUUAGAGCAGUAGUACCAAAUUUUUUUUCUUUCUCAACUUCUGCAUUUUAUUAAAUCUUUAACCUUUGGCCCACUAGAUCUUACGAGAGAUAUCAGUUUUACAAAAGAGGCCCAAUAAAACAAAAUUUAAAUAAGUCCAAAAGAGGAGAUAACCACAUGUUAACACGUGUUUGUUCCAAGAGAUUUCAAUUCUGCAUACUCACUUCUACGCAUUUUUCAUGCGAAAAUUCACUCUCUGGUCUUCUGCUGUUACUCCUCCAAUCUCCGUCACUCUUCACCGCAUGAGAGAAAAGCCUUUUGUACCAAUUCUCUUGCAGUCUUCUUUCUCUAACAGCUGCUGAAUCUAUCGGAGUUCCAAACCAAAUCAUCGGAGAUGAUAGCACAACAAAGACUUGUGAAGAUUAAGAGCAUAUCCUUUGUUCGAACACUUUCACAAGGAAAGUUCCAUCUCUACUGAACCUGCACACAAUCGGCCGAGCUAUCUGGAAAAUUUUAAUUCAACUAUUCAUCAAGAAUACUUUGCGUAAAUCCUUAAUGGAAGAAAUGAUUGACUCCAAUCUGACCAAGAAUCAACGAUAGCCAACAACAGGAAGGAAUCGUCGGACUCAAUCAGAAUAGGUAAGAAAUUUAAAAAGAAAGAGGGCAACAUAGACUCUGAUUAGAAGAAUCAGAGCUAUUAUUGUUCAAUCCAAUCCGGAGAAAACAAAGAGCUAUGAGGAACAAGCCAGGCUAGAUUGAAAUCACUACCAAAAAUCGCUUUACGGAUGUAUAAUCCGACUAGCGAAACAAAAGAUCGAUCAUAUUGAUCGAAACAAACUAAUUUACAUAGAAAGACCCAUAAUAAGAGGGGACGAAGAGAGAAAGCAUCUCUCUCUCUCUAAACAAGAGAGAGAAGGGCCUCUUUUAGUAGUACCAAAUUACAUUUG
This 1251-nucleotide long non-coding RNA is filed under the name Brassica napus (rape). RNAcentral's name for it is "long non-coding RNA (BNAP_LNC020671)". Lineage: Eukaryota; Viridiplantae; Streptophyta; Magnoliopsida; Brassicales; Brassicaceae. The record is from RNAcentral.